CCUACGGGAGGCAGCAGUGGGGAAUAUUGCACAAUGGGGGGAACCCUGAUGCAGCAACGCCGCGUGAAGGAAGACGGUUUUCGGAUUGUAAACUUCUAUCAAUAGGGAAGAAAGAAAUGACGAUACCUAAAUAAGAAGCCCCGGCUAACUACGUGCCAGCAGCCGCGGUAAUACGGAGGAUGCGAGCGUUAUCCGGAUUUAUUGGGUUUAAAGGGUGCGUAGGCGGAAUAUCAAGUCAGCGGUAAAAAUUCGGGGCUCAACCCCGUCGUGCCGUUGAAACUGAUGUUCUUGAGUGGGCGAGAAGUAUGCGGAAUGCGUGGUGUAGCGGUGAAAUGCAUAGAUAUCACGCAGAACUCCGAUUGCGAAGGCAGCAUACCGGCGCCCAACUGACGCUGAAGCACGAAAGCGUGGGUAUCGAACAGGAUUAGAUACCCUAGUAGUC
This 442-nucleotide ribosomal RNA is filed under the name uncultured bacterium. Its description in RNAcentral is "partial 16S ribosomal RNA". It matches the Rfam family "Bacterial small subunit ribosomal RNA", at positions 338 to 795 of the family's 1533-position model. The record is from RNAcentral.